Molecule: long non-coding RNA, 1134 nt
Filed under: Anser cygnoides (Swan goose)
Lineage: Eukaryota; Metazoa; Chordata; Aves; Anseriformes; Anatidae
Description: lncRNA (ENSACDG00005004833.1)
Source: RNAcentral
AUGGGAACAUCAUGGGGGACCAAAGGGGCUUUCCAGCUGUCCAGUGCUGUCCCCAGUAGGACUUUAGGAGCGCAUGGAGCACUGCACCAAGGGGUGCUCAGCCUUCUCCGCAGGGCUGGGACAAAGGGACCCACGGGCACGUCUCCCACGUGCCACCAUCCUCGAGACCGCCCAGCUGCGCUGGGACACCCGCUGUGGUGCCGUUCCCACGGCGUGGGGCGCACGGAGCCAACCCCACUGCGGGCAGCGGAAACGGCGCUUCCCCUUUUGCUGCCCCGGGGUUGCAGUUUCAGCCACCCUGGAUGGGGUCCUGUGUCCGUCUGUCGUCCCCCCACCUCCUCCCCAGCACCCCCAGCCCCAGCUUUCCCCCAGCUGCUCCUUCCAGACACCUCGAGCAGCUCACGUGGAUGCAGCCGGCAGCACUGGGGCUGGCGUCGCAUCCUCUUUCCUAACCGAGCUACGUGGCCUGAUUUCCCUCGCCGUUCCCCGUUUCAUCACAAACCCCAAUUGCAUCAGGAGCCCAAAAUUGCAGCACGACCCUUCCCGGAGCCGCCGCGGCCUCCCCGCCUGGGCACUGGCGGCAGAGCUCGGCCGUGGAGCUUUGAGGUCCUGCCCGAGGUUCCUCCGCUAUCUCCCCGAUCACCCUCGACGGAGGAAGUGAGACAAACAAGAGCACAAAACCGGGAUCAAACGCGCGGAGCCUUCGUGCGUGACCUUGCCCGCGGCGGAGGCGGGAGGAAUUUUUGCGGAGCCGGCGUCCACGCAUGGGAAACGGGCAGUUUCCAUCAGAUAGCAGCCGCUGUCUGCCGGAGGAAGUCUGUGCUGCAGCCGCCCUAUCGCCGUGACCAUCUCUGCCCCGGCGCAGAUUGCAGCCGCCAGCCCCUCCCGGGGGGGGGGGGGCCCCUCGGGGGGGGGGCACGGGCCCCGAUUUUUGCCNNNNNNNNNNNNNNNNNNNNGGGGGGGGGGGGGGCCUCGAGGGGGGGGCAGCGGCCCCGAAUUUUGCCCUCAGCAGCCGGGCACAGGAUGCGCAGUUUGCAGCAAGGGCUCUGCUUCAGGCGCUGCUCUCUUCCGCGCUGGGAACCUGGAUUUGUUUUUAACCGUGAUCUCCACUGGGGGAAAUUAAAGAGAUUUUAA